AGAGUAGCUCUGUUGGUUAGAGCGUGUGGCUGUUAACCACAAUGUUGAAGGUUGGAGUCAUUCUUCU
Molecule: transfer RNA, 67 nt
Filed under: Nelumbo nucifera (sacred lotus)
Lineage: Eukaryota; Viridiplantae; Streptophyta; Magnoliopsida; Proteales; Nelumbonaceae
Rfam family: tRNA
About the family: Transfer RNA (tRNA) molecules are approximately 80 nucleotides in length.
Source: Rfam by way of RNAcentral